GUCCACGCUGUAAACGAUGGGUACUAGGUUUGGUGGGUCUUGACCCCCGCCGAACCGGCGCUAACGCACUAAGUACCCCGCCUGGGAAGUACGGUCGCAAGACUAAAACUCAAAGGAAUUGACGGGGGCCCGCACAAGCGGUGGAUCAUGUGGUUUAAUUCGAAGCAACGCGAAGAACCUUACCUGGAUUUGACAUCCUCGGACAACCCUAGAGAUAGGGCUUUCGUAGCAAUACGACCGAGAGACAGGUGCUGCAUGGCUGUCGU
This 266-nucleotide ribosomal RNA is filed under the name uncultured bacterium. RNAcentral's name for it is "partial 16S ribosomal RNA". It matches the Rfam family "Bacterial small subunit ribosomal RNA", at positions 793 to 1055 of the family's 1533-position model. The record is from RNAcentral.